RNAcentral lists this non-coding RNA (29 nucleotides) under Homo sapiens (human). Lineage: Eukaryota; Metazoa; Chordata; Mammalia; Primates; Hominidae. The record is from RNAcentral.
CUUGGGAAACAUAGAUUUGAAAUCUUUUC